RNAcentral lists this ribosomal RNA (497 nucleotides) under uncultured bacterium. RNAcentral's name for it is "partial 16S ribosomal RNA". It matches the Rfam family "Bacterial small subunit ribosomal RNA", at positions 28 to 507 of the family's 1533-position model. The record is from RNAcentral.
GACGAACGCUGGCGGCGUGCCUAAUACAUGCAAGUUGAGCGCUGAAGGCUGGUACUUGUACCAACUGGAUGAGCAGCGAACGGGUGAGUAACGCGUGGGGAAUCUGCCUUUGAGCGGGGGACAACAUUUGGACACGGAUGCUAAUACCGCAUAAGAACUUUAAACACAAGGUUUAAGUGUGAAAGAUGCAGUUUCAUCACUCAAAGAUGAUCCCGCGUUGUAUUAGUUAGUUGGUGAGGUAAAAGCUCACGAAGGCGAGGCUACAGAGUCGAACGGAGAGGGCGAGCAGCCGCAUUGAGAGUGAGACACGCCCCAUACGCCCUCGGAUGGCAGCAAGAGUGAAACGUCGGCAAGGGACGAGAGUCAGACCGAGCAACGCCGCGUGAGUGAAGAGGGUUUUCGGAUCGGAAAUCACUGUUGGUAGAGAAGAACGUGGGUGAGAGUGGAAAGCUCAGCAAGUGACGGUAACUACUCAGAAAGGGACGGCUAACUACGUG